UCCUCUUCCCCUUGUGCUCUGUGCUCGUCUAUCCAUAGGGAAAAAAACCCAGCAAACCACAGAAAGUGCAAAUUUAUUGCCUGGGACGUCUUUUGACCCGUGUGCACAGAUGAUGAACAAUUUCUCCUGUCUGGGUUGGCUUCUUUGCCUCUUGGUGCAGAAGUUGUCCUGAAAGCAUGCCAGGAAGCUAAGUCAUAGAGAAGUGCUCUGGAACUGGAGUGAGAACGACAUGCUUGAUGAAACAUGUCAAGCUACAUUAUAUUGUCGGUGAAACAGGACAGGAAUUCUGUCUCAGACAUGGGAAAUGUCCUUUCCAAGCACAUAAGGAAGUCUGUUUUGCAGCAGCAGUGGAUCUGAAAAGUGCCCAUCUCUGAGGUGGACAGAUGCCAGUGGGGGCAUCACGUAUUGUGUGACAUAUUUCAGCUCGAGGCUCAGAAAUGUCACAGGAUCCACAGAAUUCUUGAAGAACAGAG
RNAcentral lists this long non-coding RNA (473 nucleotides) under Chloebia gouldiae (Gouldian finch). Its description in RNAcentral is "Erythrura gouldiae (Gouldian finch) lncRNA (ENSEGOG00005006155.1)". Lineage: Eukaryota; Metazoa; Chordata; Aves; Passeriformes; Passeridae. The record is from RNAcentral.